RNAcentral lists this non-coding RNA (31 nucleotides) under Mus musculus (house mouse). Lineage: Eukaryota; Metazoa; Chordata; Mammalia; Rodentia; Muridae. The record is from RNAcentral.
UUGUCCAUUGAGUGUCAGAGGUUUAGACGUU